Long non-coding RNA from Megalopta genalis, 2031 nucleotides. RefSeq lists it as uncharacterized. Lineage: Eukaryota; Metazoa; Arthropoda; Insecta; Hymenoptera; Halictidae. The record is from RefSeq and is a predicted model, not a curated record.
UCUACAAACAGGAACGCGAUGCGUGCUCACAUCCCGCAUGCAAGCACCGAUUUAUCCGAGGAACAUGUUGCUAGAGAAGGCCGGUCUUCUCCCUACGUUGAAAAGAGUUUCGCGCGGGUUGUCUCACAAAGCCCCUCCUAGCACCAGGAUAACACGUUAGUGGAGUUGGUAUGCUUCGAUGGUUGUGCUGUUCCGUCAUACCUUGACUUUCGCCCGUGAGGAAUUUUUUCAACAGGAACGCAUGCGACCGAUAGAUGCGCUAGUGUGCACGCACACCACCUUGGCUGCGUGCGUGUGCACGUAGGCCACGUGACGUGCUGACAUAAUACACAAGCUUGAAGGUAGAGGAUCCCCCACUUCUGAACCGCGCGUUAAUUUUAGGGGAAAGCGUAAUAAGGUUUGAUCCAUCCACGAAUGUAGCGACACGGGGACCGUCAUUGUGUUGCACUACGGACGCGGAGACACGAUAACGAUACGAUAAACAAUUUACGAGACAUCUCACCUACAUAUACGUACUGGAGACACGUUAUUAAUUCCGAUUUUGGGGAAAAACGGUGUCACUGUCCCGUAAUGAUGCUUCGAUCCGAGCGGACGAGGUUAGAAGCAUCGUAACAAUGGAUUAUCGAGGGCGGAGGUGAAGCGGGAAGAUGUCUGCCGCCAUCGGGGACGGGCUAAACACGUAGCCCUGCCGAAAUUUCAGCCCAUGCCGGAGUCAAUGAACCGAUAAGCAAUGGAAAGAGGUCGUUCGGGGCCAAUAAAGUAUUGUACGUCACAGAGGUGCUUAAGGCCCGCGCGGCUCUUCCUCAAAAUUGUGUCUUUCCGAUCCGCGGCCACCACGUCCAUCGAAGAGAUUACUGGAGGCUGCGCGUAAAUUAGCAUACUCCUCGUUCGUCGUACGAAAGGCGAAAGAUAAACGAUGAUGACGAACGGCGCACCAAGGUCCACGGCGAUCCUGGAUACGCAUGGACAACGUCUAUGUUACGUAUGUGUGUAGCGGUAAAUUCGAUGAUUAUAAUUCAAUGAAUAAUUCUAUCGCACACCGAGCCACGUUAAAUUAAUACAGCUCGAUGUAUUUUAAACAGUACUCGGGAUUUUUACGUUACAAAAUUGCGUUCAAAUCGUACCUGAUAUCGAUCACGUAUAUAUGUAUGUAUUUCGAUUCCUGGGAAAAAGAUGGUGGAUGUCAUCGACAUCAUGAUGUGAUAUUUUUGAUAAAAAAAAUUCCGUGGAAAACUCCGUGGAAUCUUGACAAUAUAAUGAUACGUGUAUCUCAGAAUUUUCCGUAUCUUAGUCGAAGCAUGAUUUAAUAAUAUAUGUAACGUGUACGCGGAGAUGUUUGAAGUUUGAAGGUUUAAUGAUUAGCAAUCAGAAUCAUUUAGGCUCAAUCAGUUGGUGCAUUGUAGCAGGGAAGCAUAACGAUGUUGAAAGUUCGGUUCAGUUCAGAUAGAUAAGUCCAAUCGAAAUGUAUGUAGUCGUACGGAUACGUAAUCUUGUUUCGCGAUGCUAAUACGCAACAGUGAUUAUCUUGUAAAACUUAUAUUGUGUUACCUAUUCUUAUAAAUUGCACGCAUUGCAAGAUAUGCGGUAAUCAUUCUGUUGUGAACUUAUGGAAUCAACUCCGUCGGUAAUAUAACUAAAAUUUUAAAACAAAUUGUGCUACCAUCUACGGCAAAAUCGUCAAAUUUCAAGCCGAUUAGUUCCGGUUCUUGUUGCUAGAUGGAGCAGCAAGUGCCAUCAUAUUUAACCACGAAUCAUAUAAAUCUCUCAAUUCAAGAACCUUUCCAUUCUACUAUACAUUCAGUACCCCGCAACUGCUUUGGAAAGAGGACGAGACAUGACUGAGUGAGACAAAUCAGCGGGCUCCAAAUUUCGAUGAUUGUGCUUGAACAUGGCGACCAACGACCUAACUUCACCCUCGCUGCGCACUUCUUAUUACAGGGUCUCUACUAUGAUGCUGAUGUAUUCUUACCGUUUAUUGUCUUAAUAAUAGAAUUAAUAAAUGUAUUUAAUAAAUGACAAGUAUAAUUUAAA